Molecule: long non-coding RNA, 334 nt
Filed under: Ananas comosus (pineapple)
Lineage: Eukaryota; Viridiplantae; Streptophyta; Magnoliopsida; Poales; Bromeliaceae
Description: long non-coding RNA (ACOM_LNC032191)
Source: RNAcentral
CCUGCUGACCCGAAUAAUUUAUUAUUUCACGAUUUUAUGUACAGCUCUAAGGUAUCGUUCGGUUCGGGGAUAAGUAAAAAGUGGCUAUUUCAGGGAUAGAUAUAAAUUGAGGUAUAAGCGGGAAUUAGAUCAAUUUUGCGUUUGGAUGAAAAUUAGAUUAUUUCUGGGAAUAAAAAAAAUAGCGUUUGGUUAAGUAAGAUGGAAAAAGAAAUAUACCGGAUUUUAUAAAUAAAAAAUAAUGAUAUUAUUCUCUUAUUAUAUUUGAUUUGAAUUUUUAAAUUUUUAAACUUAUAUUUUUAAAUUUUAAAUUUGAAAUUUAAAAUCUCAAAUUUUA